GCAGAAGGAUCAUUAGUGAAGAUUUGGGCAGGCCAUACGGACGCCAAAAAGUGUCCCUGGCCGCCUACACCCACUAUACAUCCACAAACCCGUGUGCACUGUCUUGGAGAAAGGCUUCAGAGAAGUUUUUUGUGGCCUCUCUUGGGGUCUUUCUUCGCUACAAACUCGAAUGGUUAGUAUGAACGUGGAACUUGGUUGGACCGUCACUGGCCAACAAACUAUACACAACUUUCGACAACGGAUCUCUUGGUUCUCCCA
RNAcentral lists this unclassified non-coding RNA (258 nucleotides) under uncultured fungus. RNAcentral describes it as "partial contains 18S rRNA, ITS1, 5.8S rRNA". The record is from RNAcentral. Lineage: Eukaryota; Fungi.